AAACGGGGUUGGGCAAAUUUUUUUGUGAGAAACUGCAAAGUGGUGACUUGUUGCUGCCUAUUCCAUCCAAGGAUCAACCGGUUGAUUUUCUUAGCAAGGCAUUAUCUCCACAGUCCUUUCUGCCAUUUAUAACCAAGAUGGGCAUGUUGGACAUCUACCAUGCUCCAGCUUUAAAUUCCUCUAACUCUUCCAAUCCCAUGGUCCCC
RNAcentral lists this long non-coding RNA (206 nucleotides) under Glycine max (soybean). Its description in RNAcentral is "long non-coding RNA (GMAX_LNC001079)". The record is from RNAcentral. Lineage: Eukaryota; Viridiplantae; Streptophyta; Magnoliopsida; Fabales; Fabaceae.